Molecule: long non-coding RNA, 2179 nt
Organism: Sparus aurata (gilthead seabream)
Lineage: Eukaryota; Metazoa; Chordata; Actinopteri; Spariformes; Sparidae
Source: Ensembl
AUCACAAUCUAACGAUCGUUAGAUUAAGAUCUUUAUAACAGGAGGAAUUUAAUGAUCAUACCAAUCUGGUCCUCAAAAGCCUCAAGAAUCAACAAAAAUUCAAAAUUCCUUGUUGCAGCUUUGAGAUGUGAUCACAUUUACACAAAUAACACUCUAACCUUUUCUUGUGUGUUUAGUUUUCAGUCUGGACUGAACAAGACGUCACAGUCCUCAGUGAGCAACUCCGACAGUAACAGGAAGACAUCUGAGGACACAACCACAUGUGAAGACACCGGGCCAAAGAAGAAGGGGAAGAAGAAGAGGAAUUGCUUCAGACGCGUUUGUCUCUUGGCUGAGGAAGACUUUCAGCUGCUGUGUUUCCUGUGUUGAUGAGGAUUAGGGAUGUGUGAAGUAAUGUUCUGUGUAGGGUUUCUAUCCCAUGGUUUUCAGGGCUUUUGGGGAGUUUUCCAAUCAAAAUUGUCAUCGUUUGCACAUUCUCCCUGUAUCUGCGAGGUUUUCUCCGGGCGCUCCGGUUUUUCCUACAAACAUAAAAUAUGUUUGAAAAAAAAAGAUGAAGCUCAUUCAGGGACAGAUCUGAUUGCAGACAAUCAUAUGUCAAUAUUUGCUUGGAAAAGUCCCCAUAUCGCCUGAAUGCCCCAUAACACAGAUCAUGUCACGUCAUAACAAGACGUCACAGUCCUCAGUGAGCAACACCGAGUUUGUGAAGUUGUGUAGGGUUUCUUUGCAUGUUUUUCUGGGCUUCCGGGGAAUUGUGCAAUCAAAACCCUCAUAGAUCUUCCGAGGGCAGCAUGGUGGCUUAGUGGUCAAUUUUGACAUUGUGGCUUCACAGCAGAAGGUACUGGCUUUUUUCUGGGCCUCUUUCUGUUUCUGUUUGUAAGAUCCAAUUAAAAGAGGUUUGUCUCAUUCAACCAGUAUAGGAAGUCAAUUCGGCACUGAUGUCGCAUCAAUGGGUCACAUGACCUGGAAGCUAUUGUCAAAAAUGCUGAGUCUACAUGGAGCCUAUUGAGGAAAAUGUUGAAUUUUUAUUUGAAUUAUUGCCAAAAAUAAAUGAAUAAAAUAAUUAAAGUUCAACAUAAAGAGUUGUGUCUCAUUGAACCAGUAUAUAUUGCCUGGCAGACCACUAACGACUGGAUUGCUGUCAUUGAACUUUUGUCCCUAAAAAACUCUAUACCACGAGGCCUCCAAAACAACAUGUCUCCGCUCAGUUCUGCUGGUGUCUCUCAAUUUGCUGCACUUCUACCAUGAAUAAGAACACUAAUGUUAACACCAGGGUCUGCUCAAAAUAGUUUAUACACUCAGUAGGACGUAGACAAACUAACAACCACUCAAGAGAAACCUUACACAGGCCACCAGAAAACAUGUCUCCGGUCAUUCUGCUGGUGUUUGUAGCUCAGUUUGAUACAUGACUAAGACCGCAAGAACUGCUUCUAAACCAAAAACUUCACCACCGCCCAGUUGCACGUCAGAAACUGAAUACGAUCAUUGUUAGUGGCCUGCUAGGCGAAUAGGCCGAGGCUAAUGUUUAUGUUGAAUCUACAUAAAUGAAGCUGUCCAUUUAAAAUGUACAAGUCCCUGAUCAAAACCUCUAGGGUUCAAAGGAAGUAGAAGUAUUUAGUAGGGGCGGGAAAAAUAAUCGAUUCUUAGAUGAAUCGCGAUUCGGACGUGGAAGAUUCUGAAUCGAUUCACAAAUGUCUGAAUCGAUUCACAAAUGUCAAAAAUCGAUUUUCUACACUUUAAUUGACAACAUAAUGUUGACGGAACGCAAAAGGCGUAACUCGGAAGUGUGGAAGUGCAGUGCCCGGACAGUCGACGGCAUGCACAAAACAAAAAACAUGGGAUGUGUCGUGAAUGUCUGUACUCACAAACAACUCAUGGGUGUAACAGUCUGAGGCAUUUGUCCAGCGGCUCGAGAACAGCGUGGAGACCGCUGUUGGCUGUUAGCUGUGGCGUUGAGUGCGCAGCGUCCAGGUUAACUUGUGACACCUGUAACUAUCGGGUAUUUCUGUCAUUCAACACUGCGUUCAAAUGGUUACUUAAAGCCACCAUUCCCAGCCGCAUACAUCGUUAUUAAGCUGAAUCCAAGUCGAUGUGAAACUGUACACUGUCAUACAGCCCGCACAGUAUGUUAAAAUCCAGCCCGAACUCAGCGUGAGGUCAGUCAGCUGUGGCAAAGUUUGAG